GGAAGUAAAAGUCGUAACAAGGUUUCCGUAGGUGAACUGCGGAAGGAUCUUACUAGAGAAAGGAUAGCAGCGCCACCGAAGCUUGCUUAGUGGGGUGUCGGACCGUCGACCCUCUCGGAGAAGGUCGGUCCUGAACUCCACCCUUGAAUAAAUUACCUUUGUUGCUUUGGCGGGCCGCCUCGCGCCAGCGGCUUCGGCUGUUGAGUGCCCGCCAGAGGACCACAACUCUUGUUUUUAGUGAUGUCUGAGUACUAUAUAAUAGUUAAAACUUUCAACAACGGAUCUCUUGGUUCUGGCAUCGAUGAAGAACGCAGCGAAAUGCGAUAAGUAAUGUGAAUUGCAGAAUUCAGUGAAUCAUCGAAUCUUUGAACGCACAUUGCGCCCUCUGGUAUUCCGGGGGGCAUGCCUGUUCGAGCGUCAUUAUAACCACUCAAGCUCUCGCUUGGUAUUGGGGUUCGCGGUUCCGCAGGCCCCUAAAAUCAGUGGCGGUGCUGUCGGCUCUACGCGUAGUAAUACUCCUCGCGUCUGGGUCCGGUAGUCUACUUGCCAGCAACCCCCAAUUUUUACAGGUUGACCUCGGAUCAGGUAGGGAUACCCGCUGAACUUAAGCAUAUCAAUAAGCGGAGGA
RNAcentral lists this ribosomal RNA (628 nucleotides) under Cadophora malorum. Its description in RNAcentral is "eukaryotic LSU rRNA". The stretch from base 267 to 420 matches the Rfam family "5.8S ribosomal RNA". Lineage: Eukaryota; Fungi; Ascomycota; Leotiomycetes; Helotiales; Ploettnerulaceae. The record is from RNAcentral.